UAUCUUAUUAAGGAGCAGUCUGAAAUUAUAGUUUUUUUUAAAUCUGCCUUAAUUAGUUAAUUAAGGUUAGUUUCAAAUUGUAUUCAGCCCAGAUAGUUUUAAAAAGUUAAGAUCUAGCUGGAUGGUGAUGGUGGUGCAUGCCUUUAAUCCCAGCACUCAAGAGGCAGAGGCAGGCAUAUUUCUGUGACUUCCAGACCAGCCUGGUCUACAGAGUGAAUCCCAGGACAGCCAGGACAGUUGCACAGAGAAACCCUAUCUUGAUGAUGAUGAUGAUGAUGAUGAUGAUGAUGAUGAUGAUGAUGAUGAUGAUGAUGAUGAAGAAGAAUAAUUAUAAUAAAUAAAUAAAGAUGUUAAGAUUCCACUGUGUUCUUAAAGAGCAGCUUGGACCACUGAAGCAUCUGGAAUGACCUCCAGGUAGCCCUGAACCAUGACCCAGACCUUCUGUAACAUAUGCCCAGGCUUGCUGGUCUGACCAGGAGCAGGGCCACCUACAUAGAAGAAUGACUCCCAAACAGGGCAGACACUAUUCUAUGCCCCUUGCUCUAAGUACUUCUCCCAUAACAGGCUGUUCUGGAGUGAAAGAAAGAUCACCAAGGCUCGGGAGUGGUUCCAUCGCACCGUGAAGAUUGAUUCAGAUCUGGGGGAUGCCUGGGCCUUCUUCUACAAAUUUGAA
Molecule: long non-coding RNA, 673 nt
Filed under: Rattus norvegicus (Norway rat)
Lineage: Eukaryota; Metazoa; Chordata; Mammalia; Rodentia; Muridae
Description: long non-coding RNA NONRATT018992
Source: RNAcentral